AUACGGAGGGUGCGAGCGUUGUUCGGAAUUAUUGGGCGUAAAGAGCAUGUAGGCGGUCUGUUAAGUCUGGUGUGAAGGCCCGGGGCUCAACCCCGGAAGUGCAUUGGAUACUGGCAGACUUGAGUAUGGGAGAGGAAAGCGGAAUUCCGAGUGUAGGAGUGAAAUCCGUAGAUAUUCGGAGGAACACCAGUGGCGAAGGCGGCUUUCUGGACCAAUACUGACGCUGAGAUGCGAAAGCGUGGGGAGCAAACAGGAUUAGAAACCCUAGUAGUCC
This 274-nucleotide ribosomal RNA is filed under the name uncultured bacterium. Its description in RNAcentral is "partial 16S ribosomal RNA". It matches the Rfam family "Bacterial small subunit ribosomal RNA", at positions 523 to 796 of the family's 1533-position model. The record is from RNAcentral.